Molecule: long non-coding RNA, 1712 nt
Organism: Capsicum annuum
Lineage: Eukaryota; Viridiplantae; Streptophyta; Magnoliopsida; Solanales; Solanaceae
Exons: 2
Source: RefSeq, a predicted model, not a curated record
CAAAAAUAUUAGGUUUACUUUCUAUAUAGAAGAGGGAGUAAAGAAACGAUUAAGGGAAAAAUAGUCUUUUUAUCUCAAUAAUAAAAGAUUCUAGAAUAUUCUGCAAUCUGCUCUUCAAACUACUUUGUUGCCACUUUCCAUUACAUUUUUAGUUUUGGCUUGCUCUUCUCUUCCAAUAUCAGUUAAAUAGAGGUGAUGAAUGAUUUUUAGAACUUCAACCAUAUGAGUGUGUAAAGAUCCCACCACAAAAAAUUGACAUAAAUCAAGGGACAGUGGGGAAGUGUAGAUAACUAAGCUUGAAUUUGGUGUUAUUAAUAAUUAUAACAGCAACAAAGCCUGAAAACCCCAAUUUGAGGAGGGUCGAGUGUAAGACCUUACUUCUACCUCGUGUUCUUUAUAAUUGACUAGACUUAUCGGGCUCAUACAAUUUGUAAGAGGUAUGACAUUUCAAUGAAGUAUAAAGGAUAAGCUAGCUCUCAGUAGGUUACAUUAUAAAAUGAUAUGAUAAAUUCACCUAUUUGGUGUGAUAUACUGUAUGAUAUGAAUAUUUGUGCCUUUUCAUCGAUUUUAGCUUCGAUAUACCAGUGUUUCAGGUUUUUACCCUUACCAUUCACCUUCUUCUUUUGGAUUUUGGCAUUCAAGUGUUGUAGCUUUAUAGUGAUCUCUAUCAAGUCGUGAUCCCACUGUCUAUUCUCCAAAAAGAGAAAAUGACAUUUUUUUUGUUUCUCUGUAUCUUCCUUAAGCUGAAUAAAAAAGUAGUAUUUCUACUGUUGCUUCAGAAAUAGGUAGCUUUGUUGCUAACUAAGCUUUCUCAAUGUCCACAAUGUUCUAUUUCUGCUUAUCAGAUUGACUUCUUCAAAAAAAUUCAUUUUGAAGGUUAAUAUGAAUCAAUAUGAUUCCAAGUUCUCCCUUCUCUCCUCCAUCAUGCAUUUACAUCUCUGAUUUAAAAAUAUUUCAUUAACUUGCCCUAUACUGGUUCUUGUUUAUUUUACUUACUAUAUAAGUGGAAGAGGGUAUAUAAUACCGAUUUUAUAUUCAGACAAUUUGCAAUCUUUUGUUGUUGUGCUAGGAAAAGAUGGUGUUUACAAAAUUCACAUAGGAGACAUAGUGUGUCAAUGUUAUGAGAACUUUUAUAAUAUUUCAUUUAUGUUGUGCUCUCAAAGAGAUACGGAACCAAAGUUUUUAAAAAAUAUAACAAACUACGAUAUUUCUAUUGUGGAUGGUCUUUGGCAGUAUGAAAUUGUUCCCUUCUCACAUUUAAGAUGAUCCAAUACUUUCAUAGACUUCACAUCAAAAAUGGUAACAUGGGUAGAAGAGAUGGUACCACUUUAGAAGGAUUACAAUGCUAUUAUUUGUGCACAAGAUGUAAUAUUCCACUGAUGUGCCAAGGAAAAAUGAAUAGUAAGAUUGACGUUAUGUGCCAUUAAAAAUUAUUUUUUCAAAAUAUUAUUUUAGAUCAAUGAUCUGGAAAUCAUUGUGCAUUCCCUUAUUCAAAUGUAUUCUAAUUAUUUUUAUUAAUUUAAUUAUUUUCAAGAGCCGGAAGCUUGGUGAAGAUGAUCAUAGAUGAAGCAAGACAAUUGUAGACACAAUAUUACUUAUGAUUUUUUGAUCUCAUACUGUUAUUUUCUGUCAAAUUUUUCUGACUUGUUUGCUGUGUAGGUUCUAAUCUUAUUGCAGGCAAUAAUUUACGAUUUUGAUGAUUGUUGUAUUUC